GGUACAACGAGUUGCGAACUCGCGAGAGUAAGCUAAUCUCUUAAAGCCAUUCUCAGUUCGGAUUGUAGGCUGCAACUCGCCUACAUGAAGUCGGAAUCGCUAGUAAUCGCGGAUCAGCAUGCCGCGGUGAAUACGUUCCCGGGCCUUGUACACACCGCCCGUCACACCAUGAGAGUUUGUAACACCCAAAGUCGGUGGGGUAACCUUUU
Molecule: ribosomal RNA, 209 nt
Filed under: Lactobacillus delbrueckii subsp. bulgaricus
Lineage: Bacteria; Bacillati; Bacillota; Bacilli; Lactobacillales; Lactobacillaceae
Description: partial 16S ribosomal RNA
Rfam family: Bacterial small subunit ribosomal RNA
Source: RNAcentral